AACACAACACAAUCUUCAUCAUCACACAAGACAAAACAACUACAAUGAACAACAUCCUCAUCCUCAUCUGGACUCUGACUCUCUGCAUUCAGGAGAUCUGGGGACAAAUGACAGUGACUCAGAAUCCAGCAAUACAAUCCAUCAAACAAGGAGAAACUGUUAUGAUCAGCUGUAAAACCAGUCAGACACUUUCUAGCUGUGGUAGCUGUGUGUCUUGGUAUCAGCAGAAACCUGGAGAAGCUCCUAAACUCCUCAUAUAUUAUACAAACAGCCUCCAGUCAGGAACUCCAUCUAGAUUCAGUGGCAGUGGAUCUGGCACUGAUUUCUCUCUGACCAUCAGUGGAGUCCAGACUGAAGAUACAGGAGAUUAUUACUGUCAGAGUGAACACCUGAUCAGUAGUAGCUGGGUGUUCACACAGUGAUAAAGAGUCGUACAAAAACCUCCGUCAGUCAGAGUCACAGUGACUGCACUGAUACAGCUGAGAGAUACUGCAGCUGCUGAUGAGAGGAUGACAAACAAGCAGCAAACUUAAAUUUUAGUUUUAAUUAAUCAUGUUAUGAAUUAUUUAACAAAAUAUUAUAGGUCGGUUUUAAUUGUAUCCUCAACUAUACGGUAUAUAAUCAUGAAACGUGACAUACGGUUAAAUUUACAAUAUUUAUAAUUUAGCAUAAAAGCUAGUACUAUUUUUUUUUUUUAUAAUUGAUUUUCAUUCAUUCAUUCUUAAAGCCAGUGUUGGAAUAUUGACAUAACUGAGAUUCAAUCAGAGAAAGAUCAGUCAGCUGCCAUAAAUUACCUGAUGGAAAAGAAACAACGGAUGAGAAAGAAAAGAUCAAGCAAACAUUGUCCUUCUAUGAAUAAUUCUUCAUUGUUCAAUGUUAUAACCCAGAGGAAAAUGAGUUUAUUCUCAGUGAAGAUUCAAAACAGAAAGUAGAUUAUAGAGUUAGAGAACAGUCUCAUUUGAAGAGCUAAGUGUGGCUGAACUUUUGAAAAAGUUAAAUCUUUAUAAGAGUUUUAUAAGCAUUAUAAUUUACCAAAAUGAGUAACAACACCACUAAUGCAACAACAAGUUAGUGUACAGUCUAUGCUUUACCCUGCAUACAAGCUGCAAUGGUCCAGAUGAGGAUGAUGAUGUUGUUCAUUGUAGUUGUUUUGUCUUGUGUGAUGAUGAAGAUUGUGUUGUGUUCUGCUCUCAGUCAAGAAGUGUUCAACUCACAGCACUAUAAACAUUUGCCACUAUUGUGGUGAACAGAUCAAAAGGCCUGAAGCCCUAUUAUACCCCGACUCUAUGCCCAUUCACGAAUGAUUCAUUCUUUUGAGUCAAUUCUGUUCGAAGGCUUGAUCAGUUGGCAGACAGUGAAUUGGUUCGCAAAUCGGUUUGAAUGAUUCGUUCAGUUCCCUGCCGCACGCACCGAGUCAUCUGAAGCGGUUCUCACUCAGCAUGUAACAGAAAGUUUAAGAACAUCAAGAGCGUUGAAGACGUGGCUUUGGAUCUACAGUCAACUGAAAGCAAAUCUGCAAAGGCUAUUGUUUGCUAGCUAUGAAGAUCUUUAUUAGAUGAACACUGUGUGUGCUGUCUACGGUUCCACAGGUAUAGAUUCGAUUACAGUACACGAUACCACUAUGACAUUACCAGUUUAUUGUACAUGUACCUUAUACAUUAAAUACAAUGUAUAAUUUAUACAUUAAAUAAGCUGUCACAGAGUAUGAA
Non-coding RNA from Onychostoma macrolepis, 1709 nucleotides. Lineage: Eukaryota; Metazoa; Chordata; Actinopteri; Cypriniformes; Cyprinidae. The record is from the annotation of a RefSeq genome assembly.